RNAcentral lists this small RNA (295 nucleotides) under Corallococcus coralloides DSM 2259. Its description in RNAcentral is "5' ureB small RNA". It matches the Rfam family "5' ureB small RNA". Lineage: Bacteria; Pseudomonadati; Myxococcota; Myxococcia; Myxococcales; Myxococcaceae. The record is from Rfam by way of RNAcentral.
CUUCGUCCGCCUGCUGCGGGCUGAUGAAGUGGAUGUGCGUGUCCAGGCCGCCCGCGGUGAGGAUGAGCCCUUCACCGGCGAUGACCUCCGUGGUGACGCCCACCACCAUGCCCGGCGUGACGCCCGCCAUGACGUCCGGGUUGCCCGCCUUGCCGAUGGCGGAGAUGCGCCCCGCCUUGAUACCCACGUCCGCCUUGAAGAUGCCCGUCCAGUCCACCACGAGCGCGUUGGUGAUGACGCAGUCGAGCGCGUCCGCGUCGCCCGUGCCCGCGCGCUGGCCCAUGCCUUCGCGCAG